CCUACGGGAGGCAGCAGUGAGGAAUAUUGGGCAAUGGGCGGGAGCCUGAACCAGCCAAGUCGCGUGAGGGAAGACGGUCCUAGGGAGUGUAAACCUCUGUAGGCGGGGAGCAAGGCCGGGCACGUGUGCCCGGAGGGAGAGCACCUGCAGAAUAAGCAGCGGCUAACUCCGUGCCAGCAGCCGCGGUAAUACGGAGGAUGGGAGCGUUAGCCGGAUUGAUUGGGUUUAAAGGGGGCGUAGGCGGAUUUUUAAGUCAGCGGUAAAAUGUCCGGGCUCAACCCGGGCCGGCCGUUGAAACUGGGGAUCUUGAGUGGGCGAGAAGUAUGCGGAAUGCGUGGUGUAGCGGUGAAAUGCAUAGAUAUCACGCAGAACUCCGAUUGCGAAGGCAGCAUACCGGCGCCCGACUGACGCUGAGGCACGAAAGCGUGGGGAUCGAACAGGAUUAGAUACCCUUGUAGUC
RNAcentral lists this ribosomal RNA (460 nucleotides) under uncultured bacterium. RNAcentral describes it as "partial 16S ribosomal RNA". It matches the Rfam family "Bacterial small subunit ribosomal RNA", at positions 338 to 795 of the family's 1533-position model. The record is from RNAcentral.